AGGGAGAAUUUCUGUUUGGAAGAAAAAUGCCAGAAGACAGAAAUCAAGGUGAGAGACCUAGAAGACGCCCUGAGUCACAGUCAGGAGGAACUUGACAUCAAGAAUACACAUUGUGACCAGCUGGAGGAGAAUUUAUCCGCAUGCAAGCUGGAAUGUGAAUUGGACCUGAAGGGAGAUCUGGCGACUGGUGCACAAAGAUGUGGAGAAGGAAUGUUCUGAUGACCAGAAAGAGGUGUCCUUAUCUGAAAGUCAAUCUCACAUUCGUAACGAGAUUUUACAGGAGAUACAGAAUCUGAAGGCACAGCUCGAGAAGCGAGAGGCAGUUCUGGAUAUCUUAACAAGCCGUAAAUCUAAGCCUGACCAUCUGUCUCUUGAGCACAGUACAUGUAGCUGUUUCGGAACCUUAUCUGGUAGUAAUUCCAGCUCUCCGCUUGUGGAGGCCCUUGCCAUUGACUAUUUCAAUGGUAACCAGCCCCUACAUCGUGUCAAGAAAAGGCCAUACAUAGCCAGCUCUGAGAUGGACCUGUCGGGGUACAGUAAAUGUCAAGACCAUGUGUGUAAUGGUUGGGGAUGCUCCAAUCGCAGUCCUCCACAGGGUCAAACAUCAACAGAGAGUAACAACAACUAUUCACAGACAAACCUCUGUAAGUCUG
Molecule: long non-coding RNA, 653 nt
Organism: Pecten maximus
Lineage: Eukaryota; Metazoa; Mollusca; Bivalvia; Pectinida; Pectinidae
Exons: 6
Source: RefSeq, a predicted model, not a curated record